This 318-nucleotide unclassified non-coding RNA is filed under the name Hevea brasiliensis (rubber tree). Lineage: Eukaryota; Viridiplantae; Streptophyta; Magnoliopsida; Malpighiales; Euphorbiaceae. The record is from RNAcentral.
AGAACAUUUUCAGUUUCAAUAUGUUGCUAAUAUGUAACAACAGUAGGGGAAAACUCUUAUAUGCAACUACACUUCUCGUUUUGGACCGGCAAAGAAAAUUUAUGCGUCUAAGAUAUUUAAAAAAAAUACACUCUCCAAUUGCAAGAUGGACAAAAUAGGUCACUAAUCAACAGUCAUGGCUUCUGAGCCACCACUGGCAUCCUCCAUCCCAUUUUUCUGUUCUUCCGUUGCCAUUCUCAUCUCCUCCAUCAAAUUCUUCUGAUCUUCCUCUAUAUUAUUUUGCAACUCAUCAACCACGUGCAACAAAAGAGCAAACUG